AUUCCAGGGAACCCGCCCCGGCGGGGCAGAGGCGCGGGGAGGAGGUGCCCCGCAGGGCCGGCGGCGCCCCCCGGAGCCCGCGGAAACACACGCUUGCAGCGAAAGGCUCGUACACACCAGCCGGGUUUAUUCGUUCCCUACCCGGGUGCGCUCGGGGCGCGCGGGAAACAAGGAAACGCACGUACCUGGCGGCGCUCCGAGGGGCCCCCGAAGCCACUCCCCGCCCGGCCGGUCGCCCCGCGGCCCGUCCCUCCCUCCCCGGACGCGCGCGGAGCCCGCCGCCGGGGCCGCGUCCUGCUGCCGGCGCCAGGGCCCGCGCCUCCUCCCGGGGGAUCCCCGCGGGCCGGGGCCGGGGCCGGGGCCGGGGCGCCCAGGCCGGGGAGCGGCGCGUCCUCCCCGGCCGGGGCCCCGCGUGCGCACGUCCCCCGCCGAGCUGCGGAGCCGGCCGCGGAGCCCUCGGGGAAGACGAGGAGGCGGCGGCGGCCGCGGUCCGGGCAGGAGCCCCGGGGCGGGAGGGGUGCUGGGCGGAGGGGCGGGCUCCCCGCGCCCCGCGGCCGCCGCCCUCCCGGGCGCCCCGCCCCGCCCCCGCCCCCGCCCCGUCCCCGCGCCGAGCCCUCCCGGCGCCCCGCCCCCGCCCGCCGCCGCCGCCCAAUCACCGCCCGCCGCCGCCGCUCCCUUUGUCUGGGCCGCGGGCUCGGGCCAAUGGCAGCGCGCGGACACGCGGGCGGCGCGCGCCUGGGCCAAUGGGCUGUCAGGACGGGCCGCGGGGGGCGGAGCCUGGGCCCCGGUCGGUGCGCUGCCGGGCGGAGGCAGGCAGCCCGCCGCGGGGCCGGAGGCUCUCGGAGCUGCCGGUGCCGUGACCGUGCGCGGCGGGACCCGCGUGUCCCCGGGGGGAGCGAGGGGACCCUGAGCGCCGCAGCCUCCAGGGACGUGCGGCUCAGAGGCGUCUCCGCCCCAGACCGGGUCCCCCAGGGUGGGAGUGGCCGCGCUCACCGGGGUCACCCCGAGCAGGGGGCGGCUCUGCCGUCGCCCCUGAGCAAGGUCCGGAGCCUCCCAGAUGCCCAGGGCUGGUGA
RNAcentral lists this long non-coding RNA (1074 nucleotides) under Canis lupus familiaris (dog). RNAcentral's name for it is "lncRNA (ENSCAFG00040000929.1)". Lineage: Eukaryota; Metazoa; Chordata; Mammalia; Carnivora; Canidae. The record is from RNAcentral.